UGUUCCAGUCUCUUUUCUUGAAGCAUAUU
This 29-nucleotide non-coding RNA is filed under the name Rattus norvegicus (Norway rat). Lineage: Eukaryota; Metazoa; Chordata; Mammalia; Rodentia; Muridae. The record is from RNAcentral.